RNAcentral lists this ribosomal RNA (429 nucleotides) under Pseudomonadota bacterium. Its description in RNAcentral is "Proteobacteria bacterium partial 16S ribosomal RNA". It matches the Rfam family "Bacterial small subunit ribosomal RNA", at positions 355 to 776 of the family's 1533-position model. The record is from RNAcentral. Lineage: Bacteria; Pseudomonadati; Pseudomonadota.
UGGGGAAUAUUGGACAAUGGGCGAAAGCCUGAUCCAGCCAUGCCGCGUGUGUGAAGAAGGUCUUCGGAUUGUAAAGCACUUUAAGUUGGGAGGAAGGGCAGUAAGCGAAUACCUUGCUGUUUUGACGUUACCGACAGAAUAAGCACCGGCUAACUCUGUGCCAGCAGCCGCGGUAAUACAGAGGGUGCAAGCGUUAAUCGGAAUUACUGGGCGUAAAGCGCGCGUAGGUGGUUCGUUAAGUUGAAUGUGAAAGCCCCGGGCUCAACCUGGGAACUGCAUCCAAAACUGGCGAGCUAGAGUAGGGCAGAGGGUGGUUGAAUUUCCUGUGUAGCGGUGAAAUGCGUAGAUAUAGGAAGGAACACCAGUGGCGAAGGCGACCACCUGGGCUCAUACUGACACUGAGGUGCGAAAGAGUGGGGAGCAAACAGG